Molecule: microRNA precursor, 60 nt
Filed under: Panagrellus redivivus
Lineage: Eukaryota; Metazoa; Nematoda; Chromadorea; Rhabditida; Panagrolaimidae
Description: lin-4 stem-loop (prd-lin-4)
Gene: prd-lin-4
Source: miRBase by way of RNAcentral
UCCCUGAGACUAUAGCUGUGACGGCCAAGUUGAAACUCACGGACUAUAGUGUCGGGAAUG